CUUCAGUUAGGCCUUAGAGGCCCUUCCAAGGUUCUGGAAACAGAGUCUGGCUUCUCUCUACACUUCACUCCCAGGCCAGAGGCCAGGCCUUAUUUGAUCCAUUUGAAAGUUUCUGCGAGCAAGGAGCUCAGGCAAGUCAGAGUCCAGCAGGGGCCCACUGACUUCCCAGAGCUGAUUCUGGACUCCAGGGUCCUGAAACCAGGUGACCUGGAAAAGCCAGUCAGUGCAACAGCCCACCCCGCUCCCCCUCUCCUCGUGUUCCCAUCCUUUAAAAAUGUUGUACCAUCUCCCUUCAGGAACGCAGCUCAGAUCCCCAACUGGCUGCCUCACUUCGUGCAGAAAAUAAAGCUUGCAUUUUAAGCUUCUGUCUCUGAAGUAAGUUUUUUCAUC
This is a long non-coding RNA of Acomys russatus (golden spiny mouse), 390 nucleotides long. RefSeq lists it as uncharacterized. The transcript has 3 exons. The record is from RefSeq and is a predicted model, not a curated record. NCBI's taxonomy places the organism in Eukaryota, Metazoa, Chordata, Mammalia, Rodentia, Muridae.